RNAcentral lists this ribosomal RNA (495 nucleotides) under uncultured bacterium. RNAcentral describes it as "partial 16S ribosomal RNA". It matches the Rfam family "Bacterial small subunit ribosomal RNA", at positions 28 to 507 of the family's 1533-position model. The record is from RNAcentral.
GACGAACGCUGGCGGCGUGCCUAAUACAUGCAAGUCGAACGCUGAAGGAGGAGCUUGCUUCUCUGGAUGAGUUGCGAACGGGUGAGUAACGCGUAGGUAACCUGCCUGGUAGCGGGGGAUAACUAUUGGAAACGAUAGCUAAUACAGCAUAAGAGUAGAUGUCGCAUGACAUUUGCUUCAAAGGUGCAAUUACAUCACUACCAGUAGGACCUGCGUUGUAUUAGCUAGUUGGUGAGGUAACGGCUCACCAAGGCAACGAUACAUAGCCGACCUGAGAGGGUAAUCUGCCACACUGGGACUGAGACACGGCCCAGACUCCUACGGGAGGCAGCAGGAGGGAAUCUUCGGCAAUGGACGGAAGUCUGACCGAGCAACGCCGCGUGAGUGAAGAAGGGUUUCGGAUCGUAAAGCUCUGUUGUAAGAGAAGAACGAGUGUGAGAGUGGAAAGUUCACACUGUGACGGUAUCUUACCAGAAAGAGACGGCUAACUACGUG